RNAcentral lists this ribosomal RNA (274 nucleotides) under uncultured bacterium. RNAcentral's name for it is "partial 16S ribosomal RNA". It matches the Rfam family "Bacterial small subunit ribosomal RNA", at positions 523 to 796 of the family's 1533-position model. The record is from RNAcentral.
AUACGGAGGGGGCUAGCGUUGUUCGGAAUUACUGGGCGUAAAGCGCACGUAGGCGGCUUUGUAAGUCAGAGGUGAAAGCCUGGAGCUCAACUCCAGAACUGCCUUUGAGACUGCAUCGCUUGAAUCCAGGAGAGGUCAGUGGAAUUCCGAGUGUAGAGGUGAAAUUCGUAGAUAUUCGGAAGAUCACCAGUGGCGAAGGCGGCUGACUGGACUGGUAUUGACGCUGAGGUGCGAAAGCGUGGGGAGCAAACAGGAUUAGAAACCCUAGUAGUCC